RNAcentral lists this transfer RNA (77 nucleotides) under Bacillota bacterium. RNAcentral's name for it is "tRNA-Met". It matches the Rfam family "tRNA". From Rfam's summary of the family: Transfer RNA (tRNA) molecules are approximately 80 nucleotides in length. The record is from RNAcentral. Lineage: Bacteria; Bacillati; Bacillota.
GGCGAUGUAGCUCAGCUGGCUAGAGCGCCUGGUUCAUACCCAGGAGGUCGGGGGUUCGAUCCCCUCCGUCGCUACCA